UUGCUAGAUUGAUGGCGGGUGGCGAACGGGUGAGUAAUACAUCGGAACGUGCCCUGUAGUGGGGGAUAACUAGUCGAAAGAUUAGCUAAUACCGCAUACGACCUGAGGGUGAAAGUGGGGGACCGCAAGGCCUCAUGCUAUAGGAGCGGCCGAUGUCUGAUUAGCUAGUUGGUGAGGUAAAGGCUCACCAAGGCGACGAUCAGUAGCUGGUCUGAGAGGACGAUCAGCCACACUGGGACUGAGACACGGCCCAGACUCC
This 259-nucleotide ribosomal RNA is filed under the name unidentified marine bacterioplankton. Its description in RNAcentral is "partial 16S ribosomal RNA". It matches the Rfam family "Bacterial small subunit ribosomal RNA", at positions 77 to 339 of the family's 1533-position model. The record is from RNAcentral.